AGAAAACCAGAAAACAUUUUGGGGUCCCGUGUCUGCCCGCUCUCCCGACGAUUUCCAUCUCUCCCUCCAUUUUGCCCCCUCCUCCUCCUCCUCCUCCUUGCCGCUUUAGGGUUUCUCCAGCUCGGCGCCCCGGCUCGCUCCCUCCUUCCCAAUUCCGCGCCCCCGAUUCGGCGCGGCCGCCGCGUCGCCAUGGUCUCCGGCGUCGCGGACAACCCGGACGGGGAAGGCGGCGCCCAGCGCCCGCCGCCGCCUGUGGGGGCCCGGGCCGCCCUUGGCACGCCGCCGGUCUCCGCCGGCGCCGCGUACUCCGCGUCUACUAGUGGGGGGAGUGCCGGCUCCCCGUCCAGCCGCAGCGAGCAGCACGCCCCUGACGGUGGUGGCAAGGGUGCCGCCCCCGGGGCUGCGGCGGCGGCGUCGGCGUCCACGCCGGCCAGCGAGAGCACGUUCCUCCGCCUGAAUAAUCUCGACAUCAACGGCGACGACGCGCCGUCGUCGCAGGCUCCUACGAGCAAGAAGAAAAAGAGGGGCGCACGGGCAGUUGGUCCUGAUAAAGGUAACCGGGGACUGCGCCAGUUUAGUAUGAAAGUUUGUGAGAAAGUUGAAAGUAAAGGGAGAACAACAUAUAAUGAGGUGGCAGAUGAACUUGUUGCUGAGUUUACAGACCCCAAUAAUAAUAUUGAGGCACCAGAUCCUGAUAAUCCCAAUGCACAACAAUAUGAUGAGAAAAAUAUAAGACGAAGAGUUUACGAUGCUUUAAAUGUUCUGAUGGCUAUGGAUAUUAUAUCUAAAGAUAAAAAGGAAAUCCAGUGGAAGGGCUUGCCUCGGACUAGUAUAAGUGAUAUUGAAGAAUUGAAGACGGAGCUUGUUGGAUUGAAAGGUAGGAUUGAGAAGAAAAGUGCUUAUUUACAGGAGCUACAGGACCAAAGUGAAAGAGCUUAUGGUGCUGUGGACUUUGUUUGAUGGUGGCUUUACGCAACUAAAGCUGCAGCAUGGAAAAAAAUACAUACUCUUGUCUGGCAUGUUUUAUCUUCAUCUGUACUGAUUGAUCAAAUAUUUUGUUUAUUGUUAUAAGGAUCCAUAGUUGUCUCUUAGGCUGCAUAUUUAGUGCAACUCACUGUCUUUACUGGCAUAUGCUGUUCAGGUCAUCAAAUCAAGGUCCACCAUUCUGGCUUCUGCAUAUGUAUUUCACUUUUGAUGUUUGUGAUGUUUCAUGCUGUCUCAACUGCACUUUGCUACUGUUCUUGUCUGUGCUGGUUUAGAUUUGUAGAACACAUAUGUAAACUGUCAUGUACAGUUGUCACAUUCAACAAGCUGUAGCAGGUCGGCUCCAUGACUAGCUAGUUUUCGUGAAACCAAUGGCCCUUGCUCUGAUUUUACUGAAAAGCUGGCGUGCCAUCAGCAUUGUUAACCUUGUUUGCCGCAAUAUGGCUUCACAGAAAAUGUUUGCAGUAAUUGUUACUUUAUAUUCAGUGUUAAUCUUUCUUACAUCUAGUACUUCUUACCGCCUACCAAACUUGUGAUUUUCAUACCAUGGACUUUUUUUGGCAUAUCAAGUAUGUAGGUCUGCAAAAUCUGAUUCAGCGAAAUGAGCAAUUAUAUGGUUCGGGAAACACACCUUCUGGUGGAGUGGCUUUGCCAUUUAUCCUAGUUCAGACCCGGCCUCAUGCAACCGUGGAAGUCGAGAUAUCAGAAGAUAUGCAGUU
Panicum hallii is the source of this 1703-nucleotide RNA transcript. It is a transcript of the gene named transcription factor-like protein DPB, with no coding region annotated. The record is from RefSeq and is a predicted model, not a curated record. Lineage: Eukaryota; Viridiplantae; Streptophyta; Magnoliopsida; Poales; Poaceae. The transcript is spliced from 8 exons.